Molecule: ribosomal RNA, 746 nt
Filed under: uncultured cyanobacterium
Lineage: Bacteria; Bacillati; Cyanobacteriota
Description: bacterial SSU rRNA
Rfam family: Bacterial small subunit ribosomal RNA
Source: RNAcentral
AGAGUUUGAUCCUGGCUCAGGAUGAACGCUGGCGGUAUGCUUAACACAUGCAAGUCGAACGGAAUCCUUAGGGAUUUAGUGGCGGACGGGUGAGUAACGCGUGAGAAUCUGCCUUCAGGUUCGGGACAACCACUGGAAACGGUGGCUAAUACCGAAUGUGCAGCAAUGUGAAAAAUUUAUUGCCUGAAGAUGAGCUCGCGUCUGAUUAGCUAGUAGGUGUGGUAAGAGCGCACCUAGGCGACGAUCAGUAGCUGGUCUGAGAGGAUGAUCAGCCACACUGGGACUGAGACACGGCCCAGACUCCUACGGGAGGCAGCAGUGGGGAAUUUUCCGCAAUGGGCGAAAGCCUGACGGAGCAAUACCGCGUGAGGGAGGAAGGCUCUUGGGUUGUAAACCUCUUUUCUCAAGGAAGAAAAAAAUGACGGUACUUGAGGAAUAAGCAUCGGCUAACUCCGUGCCAGCAGCCGCGGUAAUACGGAGGAUGCAAGCGUUAUCCGGAAUGAUUGGGCGUAAAGNGUCCGCAGGUGGCUAUGUAAGUCUGCUGUUAAAGAGUCUGGCUCAACCAGAUAAAGGCAGUGGAAACUACAUGGCUAGAGUGCGUUCGGGGCAGAGGGAAUUCCUGGUGUAGCGGUGAAAUGCGUAGAGAUCAGGAAGAACACCGGUGGCGAAANNNCUCUGCUAGGCCGCAACCGACACUGAGGGACGAAAGCUAGGGGAGCGAAUGGGAUUAGAUACCCCGGUAGUCC